RNAcentral lists this ribosomal RNA (324 nucleotides) under uncultured eukaryote. Its description in RNAcentral is "partial 18S ribosomal RNA". It matches the Rfam family "Eukaryotic small subunit ribosomal RNA", at positions 1470 to 1796 of the family's 1831-position model. The record is from RNAcentral.
CCCUUAGAUGUCCUGGGCCGCACGCGUGCUACACUGACGCCUACAGCGAGUACUUCCCAGCCCCGAGAGGUGGCUGGUAAUCAGCAAUAGGCGUCGUGAUGGGGAUAGAUCUUUGGAAUUAUGGAUCUUGAACGAGGAAUGCCUAGUAAGCGCAGGUCAUUAGCCUGCGCUGAUUAAGUCCCUGCCCUUUGUACACACCGCCCGUCGCUCCUACCGAUUUCGAGUGAUCCGGUGAAUUGCUUGGAACAGCUACGGUGUUCUUUGAACGCUGUGGAGGUGAAGAGUUGUAAACCUUAUCACUUAGAGGAAGGAAAAGUCGUAACA